GUGAGGGGGGAGCUGUCGAAGGUGGGACUGGCGAUUGGGACUAAGUCGUAACAAGGUAGCCGUACCGGAAGGUGCGGCUGGAUCACCUCCUUUCU
This 95-nucleotide ribosomal RNA is filed under the name Cellulomonas marina. Its description in RNAcentral is "16S rRNA. Bacterial SSU". It matches the Rfam family "Bacterial small subunit ribosomal RNA", at positions 1441 to 1533 of the family's 1533-position model. The record is from RNAcentral. Lineage: Bacteria; Bacillati; Actinomycetota; Actinomycetes; Micrococcales; Cellulomonadaceae.